RNAcentral lists this long non-coding RNA (2647 nucleotides) under Sus scrofa (pig). RNAcentral describes it as "lncRNA (ENSSSCG00050076716.1)". Lineage: Eukaryota; Metazoa; Chordata; Mammalia; Artiodactyla; Suidae. The record is from RNAcentral.
AAGAUUUGAUAACAAAUAGAAAACCCAUCAACAUCUUAUUUGCCAUUAUAGAAACAUAUGUGCAUGAAAAUAGGUGUUAAAAUUUUAUUAUCAGAAUAUCCUACUCUUUUCUACCAUUUUUCUGUCCUACUGCUUUCUUCCCCUGAUACAGAAAAUUGUUUUCGACAUCACUAGCAUUUUUAAGAUAUAGUGUUGUGUAAAAAAGCUGUUCUCAAAAGGGGCCCCAUGGAACCCUGAAGAUCUCUGGCUCUCUUUUUAGAGGUACCUGAGGUCAAAACUAUUUUUGUAAUAAUACCACUGUACCGAUAUUUGAACAGAACUGCAAAAGCAACAAUGGAUAAAGCAAUAAUGAUGCCUUAGCGAGAAUCAAGGCAAUGCCGCCAAACCAUACUUAGGAAUCACUGCAUUCUUUUCCAUCGCAAACUUGCAGUAAACACAAACUCAUGCACACACACACACACACACACAAAAAAAAAAAAAAAAAAAACAUAAAAACCAUUUUACUUAAGAAUGUUCUUGGAGUUCCUGUCAUGGCACAGCGGAAAAGAAUCUGACUAGGAACCAUAAGGUUGCGGGUUUGAUCCCUGGCUUCACUCAGUGGGUUAAGGAUCUGGCAUUGACAUGAGCUGUGGUGUAGGUUGCAUACGCAGCUCGGAUCUGGUGUUGCUGUGGCAUAGGCUGGCAGCUGUGAUUCCCAUUAGACCCCUAGCCUGGGAACCUCCAUAUGACACAGGUGUGGCCCUAAAAAGAAAAAAAAAAGAAUGUUCUUGAUGAAGCAGCAAAAAUUACUGAUAUUAUUAAACUUUAUCUGUAAAAUGAAAUGGGAAAUACAUAUAAAGCUUUCUGCUGCAUGUCAAAGUACAAUGGCUAUGUUCAGGUAAAAUACUUGUGCAACUGUUUAAAUUGUGAGCCAUUUUUACUUGCAAGCACAAUUGACAAAAAAUGGUUAUUCAGACUUAGGUACCCGGCAAUUGUCUUCUCAAAAAUGAACAAAAUGGGAUUGUCACGUGAGGGAAAAUAAUUGACAGUCGUGUGUUGUCAAUGAUAAAAUUCAAACUUUCAAGUGAAAAUUAGAAUUUUGGGACUCUUAUAUCUUCCAGUAUGAGUUGAAAGCUUUCUAACAACUCCUCUGUUGAGAUUGAUUCUGAUAUUAAUAAAUAUGAAUUUUUAAUAUUUUAUAAUAAAAUGUCAUUUAGCUCAGUGAACAUAAUUCAGGGGACCACUAUUUUCCAAACACUGUAACAUCCAAUGUAUAAUGUUACAAAAUCUUGGUGGAUAAAAGAUUCACUCAAAGUGAAAGAUAUACGAAUGGACUUUAAUACAAAGAGUAUAAAAAUUCAAUGAUAUGGUUUCAGAUUAAACACUACUAACUCUUAAAAAACUACCACUUGUCAAGUUUUGGUAUAGUAUCAAAGAAGAGAAAAACAGUCCUCUUUUCUCCAACUACAUGCAUUGAUAAACCUGGAUUUUCUUCAUAAACUUUACCCAAAAUAAUAUAACAACUUAAUGCAGAAGCAAAUUUGAGAAUCCUAUCUUCUACUAAGUCAGAAAUAAAAAAAGAUUUGUAAAAAUGUAAAAACAAUACCAGUCUUCCCUCUAAAUAUGUUUGUUUCAGAAAAUAGAGUUAUUUCCCAUUUUAUAACGUAUUGCUUAUAUUAACGUAACUUAUGUUAACAGCUAUUAACUAAUGUUAAUAGCAAAUAUGGCUUUGCUGCUGUCAUUCUUAAAUGAGUAAUAAAUAAAAUUUCUUUCGGGAGUUCCCUUCAUGGCUCAACAGUUAAGGAACCUGACUAGGAUCCAUGAGGAUGCAGGUUCAAUCCCUGGACUCACUCAGUGGGUUAAGGACCCAGCACUGCCAUGAGCUGUGGGGUAGGUCGCAGACGCAGCUCAGAUCCUGCGUUGUUGUGGCUGUGGUGUAGGGCUGCAGCUGAAGCUCAGAUCCAAGCCCUAGCCUGGGAACUUCCAUAUGCCACAAGUGUGGCUCUAAAAAGAAAAAAGAAAAAACAAAAUUCCUUUUGAGUUCCCACGUUCAUUUAUAAUACAGCAAAUAUGGAUAGAUAUAAGCCACAUAAAUGAAAGUUCUUCAGAGUUUCAUUAAGUUUUAAGACUAUAAAGGGAUCCUCAGCCCUUAAUUUGAGAAUCACUAGGUACAGCAUUGAAGAGACUAGAAUGUGCAGUUAAGAGAGACGCACAUAUUAGGAUUCAGCCAUUCACUGACUGUUAAGACCCCUUGCAGAAGUCAUUUCAUCUCUCUGAGCUUCAGUUUCCUUAUCUACAAAAAUAACCAUGUUCCUCCACCUCAUGGGGCUGUUAAGGGAAUUCCAUGAAGUCACGGCUCUAUUGUCUUUAACACAUUAUACAUCCUAAUAAUUACUAGCUGCUGAUAUCAUCUUCAGCUUGUCCUUUUGGUCAACUUCUUGAUAUUGGUGAGAAUGGUUCAGAUCUUGAAAGAGAGGAGAGACUGUCCCUCAAGAGAGAUGAGGCUGGCCUCCCCUCAUGGAUGAUGUGGCCACAACUGUCUGAUCUGAGCCACAGUUUUCCACAGUUUUGCCAGACACAAUGACUCCACUGAGGCUCAGCUCUCCUUUUACCCAUGGGUGCUGGGGAGAGUUGUCAUGCAAAGAAGAAUAUUCUAUCAUCUCAUGAG